CCUACGGGGUGCACCAGUGGGGAAUAUUGCACAAUGGGCGCAAGCCUGAUGCAGCCAUGCCGCGUGUAUGAAGAAGGCCUUCGGGUUGUAAAGUACUUUCAGCGGGGAGGAAGGCGAUAAGGUUAAUGGCCUUGUCGAUUGACGUUACCCGCAGAAGAAGCACCGGCUAACUCCGUGCCAGCAGCCGCGGUAAUACGGAGGGUGCAAGCGUUAAUCGGAAUUACUGGGCGUAAAGCGCACGCAGGCGGUCUGUCAAGUCGGAUGUGAAAUCCCCGGGCUCAACCUGGGAACUGCAUCUGAUACUGGCAAGCUUGAGUCUCGUAGAGGGGGGUAGAAUUCCAGGUGUAGCGGUGAAAUGCGUAGAGAUCUGGAGGAAUACCGGUGGCGAAGGCGGCCCCCUGGACGAAGACUGACGCUGAGGCGCGAAAGCGUGGGGAGCAAACAGGAUUAGAUACCCUUGUAGUC
This 465-nucleotide ribosomal RNA is filed under the name uncultured bacterium. RNAcentral describes it as "bacterial SSU rRNA". It matches the Rfam family "Bacterial small subunit ribosomal RNA", at positions 338 to 795 of the family's 1533-position model. The record is from RNAcentral.